UACGUAGGGUGCGAGCGUUGCCCGGAUUUAUUGGGCGUAAAGGGCGCGUAGGCGGCCACGCACGUCCGUUGUGAAAUCGCCCGGCUCAACUGGGCGGGGUCAGCGGAUACGGCGCGGCUGGAGCAAGCUAGGGGGCAAUGGAAUUCCCGGUGUAGUGGUGGAAUGCGUAGAUAUCGGGAGGAACACCAGUGGCGAAGGCGGUUGCCUGGAGCUUUGCUGACGCUGAUGCGC
This 231-nucleotide ribosomal RNA is filed under the name uncultured bacterium. Its description in RNAcentral is "partial 16S ribosomal RNA". It matches the Rfam family "Bacterial small subunit ribosomal RNA", at positions 524 to 754 of the family's 1533-position model. The record is from RNAcentral.